This is a small nucleolar RNA of Ochotona princeps (American pika), 140 nucleotides long. Its record names the gene SNORA74. It matches the Rfam family "Small nucleolar RNA SNORA74". Rfam says of the family: U19 belongs to the H/ACA class of snoRNAs. snoRNAs bind a number of proteins (including dyskerin, Gar1p and Nop10p in the case of the H/ACA class) to form snoRNP complexes. This class are thought to guide the sites of modification of uridines to pseudouridines by forming direct base pairing interactions with substrate RNAs. Lineage: Eukaryota; Metazoa; Chordata; Mammalia; Lagomorpha; Ochotonidae. The record is from Ensembl.
CCCAGCUGUAGGCAGCUGUCUCAGUUGCCUUGUACUUAGGCAAGUAUCACACUGUUGGGAGAAAACUAGCCAAUAGCUAGUUGGCAUUCUGGGCUUAGUUAAUGCCAAGUUUGUAUUAACUGUACCAGUGUGCCAGCAUA